Molecule: ribosomal RNA, 257 nt
Filed under: uncultured prokaryote
Description: partial 16S ribosomal RNA
Rfam family: Bacterial small subunit ribosomal RNA
Source: RNAcentral
UACGGAGGAUGCAAGCGUUAUCCGGAUUUAUUGGGUUUAAAGGGUGCGCAGGUUGUUUGAUAAGUCAGUGGUGAAAGUCUGUCGCUUAACGGUAGGAUUGCCAUUGAUACUGUUGGACUUGAAUAUGGAUGAGGUAGGCGGAAUGUGUAGUGUAGCGGUGAAAUGCAUAAAUAUUACACAGAACACCGAUUGCGAAGGCAGCUUACUAAUCCAUCAUUGACGCUGAGGCACGAAAGCGUGGGGAUCAAACAGGAUUA